This 318-nucleotide ribosomal RNA is filed under the name Triticum aestivum (bread wheat). Its description in RNAcentral is "partial small subunit ribosomal RNA". The record is from RNAcentral. Lineage: Eukaryota; Viridiplantae; Streptophyta; Magnoliopsida; Poales; Poaceae.
AUGAAACUCUUAAGUUGGAAUUGUCGAGGGCUCGCAUCACCCUUGGCAAUUCGCUCGCUGCUUAAGCCUGUUAAGAAGCAUGGUCCCGACGUAUUCUUCUUGUCCGAGACUCAUCUUGAUGGCUUGGGAGGGAAGAGGCUGCGUGUGAAGAUGGGGUUUGACACUAUGUAUAUUCCCCCAAGUAAUGGAAGGAGUGGUGGUCUACUUAUGUUUAGUAAGCAGCAUGUAAGUCUGAGUCUAAGAUUUGCACAUCCAAAUUUUAUUGAUGUACUCCCUCCGUUCCGAAAUAUUUGUCUUUCUAGAGAUUUCAGCAAGUGA